Molecule: unclassified non-coding RNA, 295 nt
Filed under: rhizosphere metagenome
Description: partial ribosomal RNA internal transcribed spacer region
Source: RNAcentral
GUAGGUGAACCUGCGGAAGGAUCAUUAUUGAAAUAAACCUGAUGAGUUGCUGCUGGUUCUCUAGGGAGCAUGUGCACACUUGUCAUCUUUGUAUCUUCACCUGUGCACCUUUUGUAGACCUUGGGUAUCUCUCUGAUUGCUUAGCACUCAGGAUUGAGGAUUGACUUUCUGUCUCUUCUUACAUUUCCAGGUCUAUGUUUCUUCAUAUGCCCUAAUGUAUGUUUAUAGAAUGUAAUUAAUGGGCCUUUGUGCCUAUAAAUCUAUACAACUUUCAGCAACGGAUCUCUUGGCUCUC